RNAcentral lists this ribosomal RNA (1384 nucleotides) under uncultured Planctomycetota bacterium. RNAcentral describes it as "bacterial SSU rRNA". It matches the Rfam family "Bacterial small subunit ribosomal RNA", at positions 46 to 1397 of the family's 1533-position model. Lineage: Bacteria; Pseudomonadati; Planctomycetota. The record is from RNAcentral.
GGAUUAGGCAUGCAAGUCGAACGAGGAUAUACCUUUCGGGGUAUAAACCGAGUGGCGCAAGGGUGAGUAAUGCAUAGAUUACCUGCCUCUAGGAUAAGGACAACUUUGUGAAAACGAAGCUAAUACUUAAUAAUACAAGAGAGAAUAAUUCUUUUUUGUCAAUGGGAGGGUAGCAAUACCUUUUGCCUAGAGAGGGGUUUAUGUCCUAUCAGCUUGUUGGUGGGGUAAUGGCCUACCAAGGCGAAGACGGGUAGCCGGUCUUAGAGGAUGGUCGGCCACACUGGGACUGAGACACUGCCCAGACUUCUACGGAAGGCUGCAGUCGAGAAUCUUUCGCAAUGCCCGAAAGGGUGACGAAGCGACGCCGCGUGAGUGAGGAAGGCCUUCGGGUUGUAAAGCUCUGUCAGGUGUUAAGAAAUAUAAGUGUGCUAAUACCACAUUUAUUUGACAAAGGCGCCAAAGGAAGCCACGGCUAACUCUGUGCCAGCAGCCGCGGUAAUACAGAGGUGGCAAGCGUUGUUCGGAAUUAUUGGGCGUAAAGAGCACGUAGGUGGGUUCGUAAGUCAGAUGUGAAAGCCUUCUGUUCAACGGAAGAAUUGCAUCUGAAACUGCGAGUCUUGAGUGUAGGAGGGGAGAAUGGAACUUCUGGUGGAGCGGUGAAAUGCGUAGAUAUCAGAAGGAACGCCGGCGGCGAAAGCGAUUCUCUGGCCUAUUACUGACACUCAGUGUGCGAAAGCUAGGGGAGCAAACGGGAUUAGAUACCCCGGUAGUCCUAGCUGUAAACGAUGGGCACUAAGUAGAGGGAAUUACCGAUGUUCUCUCUGCCGUAGCUAACGCAUUAAGUGCCCCGCCUGGGGAGUACGGCCGCAAGGCUAAAACUCAAAAGAAUUGACGGGGGCUCGCACAAGCGGUGGAGCAUGUGGCUUAAUUCGAUGCAACGCGAAAAACCUUACCGGGGCUUGACAUGGUAGAAGUAGGAACCUGAAAGGGUAACGAACGGUAUCCAGUCCGUAGCUAUCACAGGUGUUGCAUGGCUGUCGUCAGCUCGUGUCGUGAGAUGUUGGGUUAAGUCCCCUAACGAGCGAAACCCUUGUUUUUAGUUACCAGCGGGUUAUGCCGGGUACUCUAGAAAGACUGCCGUCGUCAAGACGGAGGAAGGUGGGGAUGACGUCAAGUCAUCAUGGCCCUUAUGCCCCGGGCUGCACACGUGCUACAAUGGUCGGUACAAACGGAAGCGAAGCCGAGAGGUGGAGCGAAUCCUAAAAAGCCGAUCUCAGUUCGGAUUGGAGGCUGAAAUUCGCCUCCAUGAAGUUGGAAUCGCUAGUAAUCGCGGAUCAGCAUUGCCGCGGUGAAUAUGUUCCCGAGCCUUGUACACACCGCCCGU